AUGGCUUUUUUAUAUCCCAGGAAAAGUAUAUCCAGGAUCUUCUUGCUCGUGCUGCUCUUACUGACGAGCGCAUUGUUGAGACUCCUAUGGAGCUCAAUGUUCACCUCCGUGCUACUGAUGGUGAUCCUCUCCCUGACCCGACGCGUUAUCGUCAUCUUGUUGGCAGUCUUGUUUAUCUCGCUGUCACUCGUCCGGACAUCUCUUAUCCGGUUCAUAUUCUGA
This 222-nucleotide ribosomal RNA is filed under the name Triticum aestivum (bread wheat). RNAcentral describes it as "partial small subunit ribosomal RNA". The record is from RNAcentral. Lineage: Eukaryota; Viridiplantae; Streptophyta; Magnoliopsida; Poales; Poaceae.